This 324-nucleotide ribosomal RNA is filed under the name uncultured bacterium. RNAcentral's name for it is "bacterial SSU rRNA". It matches the Rfam family "Bacterial small subunit ribosomal RNA", at positions 335 to 650 of the family's 1533-position model. The record is from RNAcentral.
ACUCCUACGGGAGGCAGCAGUGGGAAUAUUGCACAAUGGGCGCAAGCCUGAUGCAGCCAUGCCGCGUGUAUGAAGAAGGCCUUCGGGUUGUAAAGUACUUUCAGCAGUGAGGAAGGCGGGUACGUUAAUAGCGUGCUCGUUUUGACGUUAGCUGCAGAAGAAGCACCGGCUAACUCCGUGCCAGCAGCCGCGGUAAUACGGAGGGUGCGAGCGUUAAUCGGAAUUACUGGGCGUAAAGCGCAUGCAGGUGGUUUGUUAAGUCAGAUGUGAAAGCCCGGGGCUCAACCUCGGAAUAGCAUUUUGAAACUGGCAGACUAGAGUACU